This 157-nucleotide ribosomal RNA is filed under the name Kregervanrija delftensis. RNAcentral describes it as "5.8S ribosomal RNA". It matches the Rfam family "5.8S ribosomal RNA". From Rfam's summary of the family: 5.8S ribosomal RNA (5.8S rRNA) is a component of the large subunit of the eukaryotic ribosome. It is transcribed by RNA polymerase I as part of the 45S precursor that also contains 18S and 28S rRNA. Functionally, it is thought that 5.8S rRNA may be involved in ribosome translocation. Lineage: Eukaryota; Fungi; Ascomycota; Pichiomycetes; Pichiales; Pichiaceae. The record is from RNAcentral. RNAcentral also lists the same sequence under 1 other name.
AAACUUUCAACAACGGAUCUCUUGGUUCUCGCAUCGAUGAAGAGCGCAGCGAAAUGCGAUAAUUAAUGUGAAUUGCAGAUUUUCGUGAAUCAUCGAGUUCUUGAACGCACAUUGCGCCCUCUGGUAUUCCGGAGGGCAUGUCUGUUUGAGCGUCAUU